UACGAGGGGGGCAAGCGUUGUUCGGAAUUAUUGGGCGUAAAGGGUGCGUAGGCGGUUUGGUAAGUCUUAUGUGAAAUCUACAGGCUCAACUUGUAGUCUGCAUGAGAAACUGCCGGGCUUGAGUAUGGGAGAGGUGAGUGGAAUUCCUGGUGUAGCGGUGAAAUGCGUAGAUAUCAGGAGGAACACCUGUGGCGAAAGCGGCUCACUGGACCAUAACUGACGCUGAUGCACGAAAGCUAGGGGAGCAAACAUG
This 253-nucleotide ribosomal RNA is filed under the name uncultured bacterium. RNAcentral describes it as "partial 16S ribosomal RNA". It matches the Rfam family "Bacterial small subunit ribosomal RNA", at positions 524 to 776 of the family's 1533-position model. The record is from RNAcentral.